This is a non-coding RNA of Meleagris gallopavo (turkey), 7497 nucleotides long. The record is from RefSeq and is a predicted model, not a curated record. NCBI's taxonomy places the organism in Eukaryota, Metazoa, Chordata, Aves, Galliformes, Phasianidae.
UUAUUCUCUUCAGGAAAUGUCCUUAAAAUGCUGCUCCUGCACUCCUAAAUUAAGAGCAGGCUGUGGAAGCCAUGUUUUCUAUUCUACUGCAGUUUGUAUGCUCCUUUUCCUUCCCUUUUUUAAAAAAGAGAAUCAGUUCUCCAGACAGAGCCUGAACAUCUAUUCACUAAGUGACAGCACUUCAAAGUAUUUCUGGGUAGACUUGGGAAGCUUACAUUUUAAGUUUUCCUCUUAUUACUGGAUAAAAAGCACUUGUCAAUGAUUUCCAUGUUGUGAGCAUUUUUCCCUUUUUCCCCCAGUGUUUAAACUGUCUCCCAAUAGAUCUGUGUAUGGCAGAGAAAGGAUCCCAAUGACAUUUCCUACAACUAGAAAUGAAGGUUUUAAUUCAGCUUUCACAAGAUAUGAUUUCAGCAUUCAGGUACUUCCACAUACAAGAUACCACAAAGAUAUGAAUUUGGUCUUCAUGGACACAUCCCACAGUGUAAGCCUCUGACAAUGCCAGUUUGGAUCGUAAAUGUAAUGGAAGUUGGACUUUUACUGAAAGUAGAGGAUAGCACUUCAUAAAAACCUGAGAACGUGGAAGCAUGCAUGCCUGUCAGCUGACCAUGCUCUUAUCCGUUCUGUAACAUGAAAGAAAUGCUCUGGCAGUGCUGCUUAUCAAGAGAUACCUAAAGACAAGGCAAAGGGCAUACAGAUUUUCCAGAGUGAUCUCCAAGUUGUAAUGGACAACCUCUUUCCUGCCAGCAGAGCCCAGAGAGGAAUAAACCAAGACCACCAGCUAAAUCACUGCAUAAUGUGCUAUGGAUAUGAGCACUGAAUGCCCUCAGUGGCAAUGACUCAGGACCAAGUCGUCCUUUUGUGGGAAAUACCUGCAAAGGAAACUGGGAACUCCACAGCAUUUGUGUCAUCCUUCUCUUCAGAUGGUGCCUCCAAAUCUCUUCUGAAAUGGUCUAUGCAGAGCAGACACAGAGUGUCUAUCACUCAGGCCUGUGGUGGCAACAUUCAACUCCGGGACAGACAACACGAAACCAGAAAUAAGAACUUGCAAACGUGGCUGAAAAUGCCCAGAGUCGUGUAUCUUACAGCCAGAGAGAAACAGAUGAUAUCCAGCAGCUUAGGCAGGAGAGAGCCCAUGAGUGAUGGAAUAACCAGAUCUCUGCAUCCAUUCCAUGAAAAACAGAUCCUUUCUUCUGGAUUCCCCAGGAUUCUCCCAGCAACCAGCCUUGUUUACAGAAGUCAGCAGGAAUAGUUACAGCUCUUCACAGAUGAGCCAUGGAGGAACCUUUUGGGAAGGCGCCUCACAGUGCUUUGUCAUCUGCUGACAAACUGGUGCCAGGACCAGAACUUCAUAAUAAAGUCUUCAGAGAAAAUUCUGCAGCAGAUCAAGGAAUCUCGAAGCGCUCUGACAAAGGGGAGGAAACCCCUCGCUGUGGGAUGGCAGCCGCGGGUCAGAGGCGUGUAAGCAGCCGUUACCGCCAUCCAGAGGAGAGCGUCAGCCGUCAGAUUUCAUUUGGUGGCGUGGAAAGGAGAACCCAACCGGUUGGUCUGGUUCGUGCUGAGGCAUCCCAGAGCAGGAAAACAACGUAGGUGUGCCACCGUGUCCCGACAGCAGGGACGGGAGGCCGGGGGGGAUGAAGGGGGAGUUAAAUUUUUUUCCCCGCCGGAUUAAUCGCGCCGUCCGCUUCCCCUCGUGCAAAACGCAACCCAGGGGCGGGCGGCAGCGCCCUCUGCUGGGCGCGUGGAAGGCCAGCAGAGCGGAGAAAGCGGGGGGAGCUGCGCUGCCGGUCGGCUCGUGCUGUGCGAGCGGGAGGUGGGAAUCCCUUCGCAGCCCGGGUUUCUGUGUUUUACAGAUCCAAAAUGACAACCGGCUUCAUACGGCCUGUUUUUUAAACAUGAAAUCCAAACAAAAGCAAUCUUUUGCUAGAGAUCUGCGUUAGAAGCUGGCAGGAGCACUACUGAGAUGUAAAGUGUGUGGGCCAGUACUCAAAAGAGUGGAUAUAGUUUUCCACCACAUCUGUCCGAACAAAUCAGUGCAAACUUUGAGCAAGUUUGGCAAGAAGCAUCCUGGUUUUGUUUUUACAGCCUUAAGAAGGAAGGGGAAAACUCCCCUGUGUAUUGGGUAUCCCUUGAAAUGGGUAAAAUGUGCUAAAAUGUGUUUAUGUGCUUUAAGACAAUCAUAAAUCAGGACAACUCUUUGAAGACAAUUUAAAGUAAUAAUUUCAUGACCGUUCCUGAAAUUUCCUACUCCAUAUAGCUGCUGAAAUGGGCAAGGGCCAACACAAACAGCCAGCGUUGGGUGCUGCCAGAUGAAAUCAUCACCCCUGCUGGCUCCCCGUAGCACAGCCUUGGUCAGCAAACCGGUGACUCCUCCUGCCAGCUCCGAGGAUGACAGUGAAAUUAAAUUCUUCUGAAUGCAACGCUUAUUCAAGGCAGGAAAUCACUUUCUUUUGGGUGCACGUUACUGGGUCAUUCUCAGCCAGUUUCCAGAACUGAGAAAGGCUCUGGUUGCAGGAGAGAUGAUGUGAUUAUGAUGGGCAAGAAGCAGAACAGGACAAGUUCCAGCAAAAACUCUGUAGAAGGCAGUAGUGAAUACUAUUCUCGAUGUAGAGCUUUAAUAGGUGGUUCAAAAAAAAGUACACCGAGAUUAAUUUCUAAAUACAUUAAGCUCAUGCAGCAGUUUUUAAUAGAAUCCUAUUCAAAUUCUGGGAUUUUCUAUAAAAAUGCUGGUUUGUGUCCUGCCCAGAGACCACUUCUGUGGAAGUAUCUCUGUGAAUGAUGAUGUGAAAAGGAGAUGCAGAGAAGUAAAGGUCAAAGUAUGAAAGCACACCUUGCUCUCUUUCUCUCCCACAUCUAUUAUUUGACCUUACUGUUGGUGGAAGCUGGCAGAGGGGUUGAUGACAAGUUGCCACGAGAUGAGGAGGGCACGGGCUGCUUGAUAGCACUUUGAGAACUAUCUCCUGCUGGGGAACUGCACUGAAGCUGGUUGAGAUUCCUCUUUGUCAAGACAGGCCAAACUUCAGAGUGCUGUCAGAUCUGUUAGUAUGAUACCAAGAUCUUUCUGGGAAUUUAUGAAACUCUCCCUUUGGAUUUACUUAUCCCUUCAGCAGGCGCGUAUUAUAGAUUAGCCAUUUUAAGUCAACCGACCUCAGUCCCCUUCGAUGACAGAUAAACUCAGGCUUAAAGUGAGAGGAUCCCUCAUGUCACUGGUUUCAACUAGAGGAUACGAGUGUGCUAUGAGAAUACUCAAUAUGGGAAACGUGAUGCAAAACACAGACAACCAGUUGGAGCAGUGCUUCAGACUAAGCUGAGUGUUCCAGAUAAGGCUGAGUGAACUGGAUGAAUGGAUGGACAGCAUCCUCAGCAAGUUCUGUGAUGACACAAAUCUUAGGAGUGCAAAAGCUAUCCCAGUAAGUAAAAUCCUUUGGUUACUCUGUGAUUCACAGCUGAUUUGUUUACAAAACCAGGUAGUUCAGUUUUCUUUUUUUAUGGGUUAAGAGCCCAUUCCUGCAGGGGCUGUGUCUGUUAGCCCCAUGACAAGAGGAGUCUUUAGAGACCUCUGCAGACCUGGAGGGGCUGCUUUGCUUCAUCCCCACUGACCCAUCCUAUCUGCCGCUAAGUUCUGCCUCCUCUUUUCUGCAGACCUUGGGUCAGAAGAAUUCCAGUGCUAGGAAAGCAAUUGUGAGGACUUCUGUGGCAAAGAGGUGCUUUAAAGAAGUAAACUUUGGAAACACAGCUGAUUCUUACUAGUUUAGUCCCAGUCAAUGGCAUUAGAAGGGAUUUGAUUGGGAUGAGUGCUGAGAGUCCUUCUGCUGUGCUGUGUCAGCUACCCCACCAGAAACAAACAUGGGACAUUUCAUUUAAACUGAGAAGUUGAUAGCAUUGAACACAUCUAUUUGUAUAAACUAGCUGGCUAUCCCCGUGCCAUCUCUAAUGUAAAUCUACUAAGGUAUUGUGAAACUUCAUUCAUUUUAAGCUUGCAGUACUUACUAGUGCAUAUACAAAAAGAGUCCUUUCUAACUUCCAUACCAUUUUUCUACUGAGUUAUUUGUUGGAAAGAUAUGUUCCUGUAUAAUUACAUGUGGUUUUCUUAAACCUUUGCAGUUGGUAGCUUAAUAUAUAUUUUGUUGUACUUUGAGUACAAAGGAUAUAUUAUGCUUUUGUUGGCAUCCUUACUAGUCAGUGUGCCAACUGCAUAAUUUUGUUCUCUGCUAUAUGUCAGGAUUCGAGUGCCGAGGGCUCAACAGGUGGUGCUGGGAUAAAGUUCUGGCAAAUCAAAUAGGUAACGCAGUUAUUUCUUUUGUCAAAUUAUAAUUGAAAACAGAGGCGAGUAAAAUGAAACCCAUGUUUUCCUGGUGCAAAACAGGGUUUAGAAUUAAAUUCAAAUCAGUUCGCAUGACUAGUACACAUUACUACCGGAGCUUGGUCUGUAAAUAAACAUGCAACACCUUAGUUUUGAUGUUGAAUGAUUCAUUCUUUGCAAAUUUAAACCUUAAGCGUCAGCAUUUAAACAAUAACAGAGGGCAUGAGUCCUCCAUUACUCUUUUGUCUUUGUCAUAUAUAUCUUGCAGAAAAUGUGCCAAGAACUUCAGGAAAACUUUGAAAAGAUUUAAAUCUAAAAAGUCAGAGAAUUUGAGACAGUCUGUGAUACAUAACUCAAAUGUUUAGCAUCAAGAGUUUCCUGCCAUAUUGUUUUCUAAUCAUUGCUCUAACUGCGAUCCCAGCAGAAAAUGGAAUAAAUACACUGGAAAUCCCAGUGAAUGCGCUGAAUGAGGUGCUGCUUUUUUUAUACUUGCUUUGGAUGAUGUUUAUUAAUCCUAAAACUGUACUCAUGGGUUAAAACCCAUUCUGCAACAAAAAUACAACAAAUCGUGGAGGCAUAGUUUGGUUUUCCAAAAUUGCAUAUCUAUGCACUUGGAAGCCUUUUCACUUUGUUAUUGUAGCUGAUGUUUUUACAGUGAGAUCUUUUUAUUUUCCUCUGAGGACCUCUCUAAAUGUAAUAUAUAUAAUCUUAUCUACAGCUCCUACAAACAUCAUGGUUUUAGUUAGUCUUCUGUUUCUCCUCACUCAAAGGGAUUUCUUCUGAGCUGUAGUUUUCUGACUUUGAGUUUUGUUUCAACAUAGCUGAACCCAUCAUGUACCAAAGUGGCUUCCAGCAGUGACUUCCAGUUCCUCAUAUUGGUCACAAACAUCUUUAUGAUACUUUUAGGCUCUUAUUUUACAGGUUUUGCCUUUGUACGUGACCAGGUGAUGCAUCCUCUUCUGCCACUUAAUAAAGUCAUUCCGUAAGUGAUUGUCAACCAAUCAGCAUAGAAAUGGGUAUCAUAUUCAACUUAAUUACUUUUAUGUUUUAUUUACUGUUGUUUAGUCCAAGCAGACUAAAAUAGCUUCCUCUUCUAUAGCAGUAGAAGGAGACUGCAGGACAGCAGAUCACAAGGGGAGAAACUGACAUGUUUGGAGGCUGUGUGAGGAAUUUUUCUGGUGUUAAAGGAGAUCUGUGAGACUUUGCAGAAAGCUGAGCAUGAGCGCAGGGAAUGUUUUGGGGAGGGGAUAAUGCACAGCCAACCAGACACAGGUAAUCAUAUCAGGUUACCAUACGUAUCUGCACAAGGUUGAGAUCCCCUUGCAAUCGGAGAGAUGGUUGUAGGUGAGAAAGUAAUUCUGGUGCUCUGGUUAUUUUUUUAUUUAUAUAUUUCUUUAUUUAUAAAAUAACCAUGUUGAAUAUUUAUCUUAAACCUCAGAUAACUGUUUAGAAAAGAAAUAGCUGAGAAGCUGAUAAUGUACCCCUUUCAUUGACAAAAGAUUUAUGCCUUGCCUGGCUGGACUUCCCAAUGGUCAAACACAAGCAGCACGUAGCCAGUGUUUAACCAGGGGAACUGAGACUGCUGCUCCUACACUUUUUUGUGUGAAAAUAACUCAGCCACGUUGAAACUGGCAAAGAUUGGAAAACAUGGUAAAAUUGCUAUCAAAAAAAGGAGGAAAGCGGCUCGUAAGCAGUUUGUGCAAAAAUAUGUAUGCAUGAACGUUUCUGCUGACCUUCCUUAGGAGCCAUCUGUCUGCUUGUAGGGCACCCUGCCCCUCUGGGGAGCAGGUGAAGAGCUAAUAUUAGUUGUGAAAUGAGAAUCUGCACUAAGAAACAAGCUCCUGGAAUUAAAAGUUGCAUUAUUUCAUGCCGUUCUAUUGCAGGAAAAAUGGCAGAUUCUUCAGUGGCACUCACGAGUGGAGUAAUAGCAAUUAUUAUUUUUUUAGAUUUUUAAUAGUGCUAAAAAUCUGAACAGAAUCUGGCCUUUGCUCUUUCAUGUACAGCAUUUGAUUAACCGUGAUUUCAAAAUGUAAUAUUGGUUUUAUAUUUAUCUCCUAGAAACUGAUCUUCCUGUUUUGUUUUUUUUUAAAUACUUCUUUUCUGCAUAGUUGUUUGCCAUGACUUUCAGUGAGGGUGCAAAAUGAAACACAGACACUUGGAAGCAGGGAAUGGUGGGGGCAGGGUAAGUAUGUGAAAACCUGUGUGAAGUGGUGUCAGUACAUACAUGUGUCUCACUCCCAAGCCAGGAAUGAGAUUUCCAGUUGUUUUUGGGUUCAUGUACAAAAAGGCAUGAUUUCCACUGCUAACAACAUCUGAGUUAUUUAAAAAAAUGUGAGAUAAAAGCAAAUAGUUCGGGACAGGAGAAGGAUAGAUAUCAUUUCUCCUCUCUACCGUUCCUCUCGUGGGCUCAGAAAUGUAUACUUAUUUGUAGUUAUAUUUUCAUCUCUGGGUGAUGUACAAUGUUUUAGCUAUUUAGAUCCCUUUUUCCAUCAGUGUAAGCUCAACUACUCAUGCUCAGCAUGUGGGUGUUACCCUACUUUUGUCACUGUCUGUGUGCAGUUCAGUUUACCUGCUCUUCUUUGUCAGGUGACUGAACCCUGGCAGGGCUGGGUGUACCCACAGUAUCACCUGCUAUACCUGCCCAGCUUAGUGCUUUUGUUUAUUUAUUUAUUUAUUCUUACAAUGGCAGCUGCACUCACAGGAGCAGAGCUGGCAGGGACUGCUAGGUUCAGCCACCCAGGUUUGUGUUUCUGUGAGUGAUUGGGAGUCCUGCUCUGCAAUUGCACCUGCUGUGUUUUUUCCCAGACCCAGCUCUUCAGUCUCAUCUCUGUGCCAUCCCAUCACCAUACUUACGGUUUCCCAUUUUCUGCCUUGUGUAUCUUGUAUGAAUGCUUUUUGAAUGCUCAUUUUACUUGUCCACCUUAUUUUCCUCUCCAUAGUUCCAUCUUUAUUUAUUCUCAAUACAUCAUAUACUUAAUUUACACAAAUUCCUGUGUGAGAACUGUUAAUAAAACAUAUUAUAAGGCGCAACUGUAAAAUAUAAUUACAAUAUAUAUAGAAACUAUACAUCACGAUAUGAUAAUUAUAAAUGGCAUAUUCAUAGAAAUGACUGUAAAUAAAAAUAAGUUGGCAUGUAUAAUUUUCACAGCCAAUGGUCUGGGCAAUUCCUUCCUCCUUCCUCCCUCCUUCCCUCCUUC